Molecule: ribosomal RNA, 385 nt
Filed under: uncultured bacterium
Lineage: Bacteria
Description: bacterial SSU rRNA
Rfam family: Bacterial small subunit ribosomal RNA
Source: RNAcentral
AUUGAACGCUGGCGGCAUGCCUUACACAUGCAAGUCGAACGGCAGCACGGGAGCAAUCCUGGUGGCGAGUGGCGAACGGGUGAGUAAUAUAUCGGAACGUGCCCAGUCGUGGGGAUAACGUAGCGAAAGCUACGCUAAUACCGCAUACGAUCUAUGGAUGAAAGCGGGGGAUCGCAAGACCUCGCGCGAUUGGAGCGGCCGAUAUCAGAUUAGGUAGUUGGUGAGGUAAAGGCUCACCAAGCCGACGAUCUGUAGCUGGUCUGAGAGGACGACCAGCCACACUGGGACUGAGACACGGCCCAGACUCCUACGGGAGGCAGCAGUGGGGAAUUUUGGACAAUGGGCGCAAGUCUGAUCCAGCCAUUCCGCGUGCAGGAUGAAGGCC